This 360-nucleotide unclassified non-coding RNA is filed under the name Hevea brasiliensis (rubber tree). Lineage: Eukaryota; Viridiplantae; Streptophyta; Magnoliopsida; Malpighiales; Euphorbiaceae. The record is from RNAcentral.
GGAAGCCCCUCAGGCGUGGAGGAUCUAGAUUGCAGCAGUGGGUGGUUGGAAGGCCCGAAUAAGGUUUAUAUUCCAUUUCUAGCUUGUGGGGACCUCAGUGGGUAUGAUUCUGACCGAUCAUAUCCACUGCCGANNNNNNNNNNNNGCUUGGACCCGGUACAGCCCCCAAUUGCUCCUCCUUACAAGAGAGCUCUUGAAAUGAAGAAAGCUUCUAAUCAUGGCAUCAAAGAGCUUGAAAAGCUCUCCUUGGAUUCUUGAUCUUCCCUCUGAAUUUUUUGUUUUUCAAUUUAUCUUUUUCCCUUACACAGAAUCUCAACGAAUUUUGAAGGGUUAAUUUUGUUGUAGUUGGAUAUUACUGGC